Molecule: ribosomal RNA, 749 nt
Filed under: Rhodococcus sp. (in: high G+C Gram-positive bacteria)
Lineage: Bacteria; Bacillati; Actinomycetota; Actinomycetes; Mycobacteriales; Nocardiaceae
Description: bacterial SSU rRNA
Rfam family: Bacterial small subunit ribosomal RNA
Source: RNAcentral
UUAACACAUGCAAGUCGAGCGGUAAGGCCCUUCGGGGUACACGAGCGGCGAACGGGUGAGUAACACGUGGGUGAUCUGCCCUGCACUUCGGGAUAAGCCUGGGAAACUGGGUCUAAUACCGGAUAUGACCUCCGAUCGCAUGGUUGGUGGUGGAAAGAUUUAUCGGUGCAGGAUGGGCCCGCGGCCUAUCAGCUUGUUGGUGGGGUAAUGGCCUACCAAGGCGACGACGGGUAGCCGACCUGAGAGGGUGACCGGCCACACUGGGACUGAGACACGGCCCAGACUCCUACGGGAGGCAGCAGUGGGGAAUAUUGCACAAUGGGCGAAAGCCUGAUGCAGCGACGCCGCGUGAGGGACGACGGCCUUCGGGUUGUAAACCUCUUUCAGCAGGGACGAAGCGCAAGUGACGGUACCUGCAGAAGAAGCACCGGCUAACUACGUGCCAGCAGCCGCGGUAAUACGUAGGGUGCAAGCGUUGUCCGGAAUUACUGGGCGUAAAGAGUUCGUAGGCGGUUUGUCACGUCGUUUGUGAAAACUCACAGCUCAACUGUGAGCCUGCAGGCGAUACGGGCAGACUUGAGUACUGCAGGGGAGACUGGAAUUCCUGGUGUAGCGGUGAAAUGCGCAGAUAUCAGGAGGAACACCGGUGGCGAAGGCGGGUCUCUGGGCAGUAACUGACGCUGAGGAACGAAAGCGUGGGUAGCGAACAGGAUUAGAUACCCUGGUAGUCCACGCCGUAAACGGUGGGC